This 514-nucleotide ribosomal RNA is filed under the name Munidopsis guochuani. RNAcentral's name for it is "partial large subunit ribosomal RNA". It matches the Rfam family "Bacterial large subunit ribosomal RNA", at positions 1830 to 2596 of the family's 2925-position model. The record is from RNAcentral. Lineage: Eukaryota; Metazoa; Arthropoda; Malacostraca; Decapoda; Munidopsidae.
GUCUUUAUGAAGUUGUAUAAAGUCUAACCUGCCCAUUGAAUUUUUUAAAGGCCGCGGUAUUUUAACUGUGCAAAGGUAGCAUAAUAAUUAGUUUUUUAAUUGAAAACUUGAAUGAAAGGUUGGACAAAGAAAAAUCUGUCUUUAAUAUUUUUAUUGAACUUUACCUUUAAGUGAAAAGGCUUAAAUAAAUUUAAGGGACGAUAAGACCCUAUAAAUCUUUACAUUUUACUAAACUUUAAAACUAGAAAUAAAUUUAUUUAAAAGCUUAAGAAAUAAUGUUUUAUUGGGGUAAUAAAGAUAUAAUAUUUAUAUAAACUGUCUUUUUUUAAAAACAAAUAUAUUUGUAUAUAAAGAUCCUUCUUAAAGAUUAAAAGUUUAAGUUACUUUAGGGAUAACAGCGUAAUUUUUUUUGAGAGUUCCUAUCGAAAAAAAAGUUUGCGACCUCGAUGUUGAAUUAAAAUUUCUUCGUGGUGUAGAAGCUAUAUAAAGAAAGUCUGUUCGACUUUUAAAAUUU